CCUUUUUUCUAUAUAAAAUUUAUAAAGAGAUUUUCCUAUUAAUAAUUAAUUUAUCCAAAUUUACAAAUUAAUCAUUCCUUGUUUGCAGCAGUAUUGGAAAUAAGCCAAAAAUAAUAUUUUUGACCUUUUUUCUAUUUAACAUUUUAUUAGAGCUUUUUAUAUUAAUAAUUUAAUACACAUACUUGCAAAUUAACUACAGAUAUAUAUAGGUACUCAAUGCACUACCAUUUUUUGCACACUAGUAUCCGUAUUCAUAGUUCAUUAGCCAUGGAUUUCUGUAUGAAGGCAUAGCAAAAUGUAGUUGAUUUUUUGGGCCGUUUUAAGAUAAUAAAUUCACAUUUAUAUAUGUUCCAUAUAAAAAACAAACAAAUUUCUCAUUAACCACGGGAAACCGUAGUUGAUGUUGAUUAACACAUAAAAGAGUAUCCAAUAUGAUUUGUAUUUACGUAUGAAAAGGAUUUCCAUAUAUAUCCAAUGUGUAUCCAAGGCUUUAGUUUUUUAUUUUAUUUUAUUUAAUCAUCCAAUGACUUUAUAUAAUCAUAACAAUUCCAGAUUGAAUUAUCCAUAUAUAGUAUCGAUCAGCAUGUGAACUGGAGUAGUCCUUAUCAACUUCUAUUUCUUCAAUUUCCCGCUUGUACGCCCAAAAAGAAAAAAAGAAAAAACAAGAACACGAAAGAGAGUGGGAACAAAAGGAAUUUAGGCGGGACGAUUGGCGCCUGAUAAGAGCCCCAAUCCCUCAAACCUCGCUAAUCGAUUAGAUUAAAAGGGCGUUCUGCUUUUCACUGACCAAGGAAGCAUAGGGAAGUAGAGGGUUUGCGAAAUCGACAUGGCUGGGUUUUUAGGAAGCGGGUUCGUGUGCUUUUAGAGGAUGGUGACCAUCAACAAGAGGAACCGGUCUCAAAAGAGAAUGAAUCAGUCAACAGGGACACGAACCUAUAUAUGCUAGUUUGGCUCAUGAAUAUAACUUCUGCAUGGUAAAAAGCCAGAUAGAUGGGAAUUGUUCAAAUUAACACACCAAAAGGCAGGAACUCAAGAGCCAAUUGAUGCAGCAGGUGCAAAAGCAAUUGCGGAUUUUGAAGAGGCCGAACAAAAGAGGCUAAGCAUGAAUCAACACAUCACUGCUCCAGAAAUCCGUGAAGAAAUGUAUGCUGAGGUUCUUGGUAAGGAGAAGGGAAACUGAGUAAGGGGUCUUGGAGCUGGGGUUACUUGGGAUGAAGUUCCUGGAAUUCAUGUGGAAGAGCGAGAUGUUUCAAAGGAAGUGCAACUCUUGCGAGAGCGUUUAGAAGCACAAACCAAAGAGGCACAAGAGAGGGAAGCACGUCUGAUGGAUGAAUUACAAAGGAAAAUGGCCGAACAAACAAAAAAAAUGGAAGAAAUGCUUGAAGUAAGGUGUGUAGGCAUGGCGGUCCAAAAAAUGGGAGAGAUGUUUAAACAAUGUGGAAUAUCGGUGGAUACAUAAGAAGAUAUGGAGCAAACAAUGUCUCAAUUUGCUCAGCACAUUUCUCAAAGGCCGUCAAAUGUGAUUUUUUCACCAAAUGAUGAUGUUUACCGCUCCACAUUGCCAUUUGAAUGUGCUGAUAUGCAGACGGAUUGAAGACAUUGCUUGAAGAUGGUGGUCGCUCGUUCAACUCUAUCGGAAGUAGUUUGAUAUUACAAUAAAGAUUUUCGUAUUAGUAUUUCCAUUUUCUAGUCAUUUGAGAUUUCGGACUAAUUUUAAUUCUUGUCUUUUGUUAGUUUAAAGUUUAAACUUUGUAGAUUUUA
Molecule: long non-coding RNA, 1761 nt
Organism: Rosa rugosa (rugosa rose)
Lineage: Eukaryota; Viridiplantae; Streptophyta; Magnoliopsida; Rosales; Rosaceae
Exons: 5
Source: RefSeq, a predicted model, not a curated record